UUUAUGGAGAGUUUGAUCCUGGCUCAGGAUGAACGCUGGCGGCGUGCCUAAUACAUGCAAGUCGAGCGAACGGACGAGAAGCUUGCUUCUCUGAUGUUAGCGGCGGACGGGUGAGUAACACGUGGAUAACCUACCUAUAAGACUGGGAUAACUUCGGGAAACCGUAGCUAAUACCGGAUAAUAUUUUGAACCGCAUGGUUCAAAAGUGAAAGACGGUCUUGCUGUCACUUAUAGAUGGAUCCGCGCUGCAUUAGCUAGUUGGUAAGGUAACGGCUUACCAAGGCAACGAUGCAUAGCCGACCUGAGAGGGUGAUCGGCCACACUGGAACUGAGACACGGUCCAGACUCCUACGGGAGGCAGCAGUAGGGAAUCUUCCGCAAUGGGCGAAAGCCUGACGGAGCAACGCCGCGUGAGUGAUGAAGGUCUUCGGAUCGUAAAACUCUGUUAUUAGGGAAGAACAUAUGUGUAAGUAACUGUGCACAUCUU
Molecule: ribosomal RNA, 487 nt
Filed under: Staphylococcus aureus
Lineage: Bacteria; Bacillati; Bacillota; Bacilli; Caryophanales; Staphylococcaceae
Description: bacterial SSU rRNA
Rfam family: Bacterial small subunit ribosomal RNA
Source: RNAcentral